GUGCCUGUGGCUCAAAAGGGUAAGGUGCUGGCUUCAUAUGCCAGAGGUGGCAGGUUCAAACCCAGCCUGGCCA
This is a non-coding RNA of Otolemur garnettii (small-eared galago), 73 nucleotides long. NCBI's taxonomy places the organism in Eukaryota, Metazoa, Chordata, Mammalia, Primates, Galagidae. The record is from Rfam.